CAAACCGGAUUAGAUACCCGGGUAGUCCACGCAGUAAACGAUGUCGGCUCGGUGUAUCGUGGUGGCAACACCAUGGUGUGCCCAAGCUCACGCGGUAAGCCGACCGCCUGGGGACUACGAGCGCAAGCUUAAAACUCAAAGGAAUUGACGGGGGCCCGCACAAGCAGCGGAGCGUGUGGUUUAAUUCGACGCAACGCGAAGAACCUUACCCAGGUUUGACAUGCAGCUGCAAGCGCACGGAAACGUGUGACCUUCGAGGGUGCUGCACAGGUGCUGCAUGGCUGUCGUCAGCUCGUGUCGUGAGAUGUUGGGUUAAGUCCCGCAACGAGCGCAACCCUCGCCGUCAGUUACAAGUGUCUGGCGGGACAGCCCUCGCUAUGGGGGAGGAAGGCGGGGAUGACGUCAAGUCAGCAUGGCCCUUACGCCUGGGGCGACACACACGCUACAAUGCCGACCACAAUGCGCUGCAACCACGCAAGUGCAAGCUAAUCGCCAAAGGUCGGCUCAGUGCAGAUCGGGGGCUGCAACUCGCCCCCGGAAGGCGGAGUU
RNAcentral lists this ribosomal RNA (549 nucleotides) under uncultured organism. RNAcentral's name for it is "bacterial SSU rRNA". It matches the Rfam family "Bacterial small subunit ribosomal RNA", at positions 769 to 1333 of the family's 1533-position model. The record is from RNAcentral.